RNAcentral lists this ribosomal RNA (341 nucleotides) under Alcelaphus caama (Red hartebeest). Its description in RNAcentral is "partial 16S ribosomal RNA". It matches the Rfam family "Bacterial large subunit ribosomal RNA", at positions 1966 to 2484 of the family's 2925-position model. Lineage: Eukaryota; Metazoa; Chordata; Mammalia; Artiodactyla; Bovidae. The record is from RNAcentral.
CAUUUGUUCUCUAAAUAAGGACUUGUAUGAAUGGCCACACGAGGGUUUUACUGUCUCUUACUUCUAAUCAGUGAAAUUGACCUCCCCGUGAAGAGGCGGGGAUGAACCAACAAGACGAGAAGACCCUAUGGAGCUUUAACUAAUUAACCCAAAGAAAAAAACUCAACCGCCAAGGGAUAACAACACUAUUUAUGGGUUAACAGUUUCGGUUGGGGUGACCUCGGAGAAUAGAAAAUCCUCCGAGCGAUUUUAAAGACCAGACUUACAAGUCGAAUCAAACCAUCGCUUAUUGAUCCAAAAACUUGAUCAACGGAAUAAGUUACCCUAGGGAUAACAGCGCA